CCUACGGGAGGCAGCAGUGGGGAAUCUUAGACAAUGAGCGCAAGCCUGAUCUAGCGAUGCCGCGUGAGUGAAGAAGGCCCUAGGGUCGUAAAGCUCUUUCGCCAGGGAUGAUAAUGACAGUACCUGGUAAAGAAGUUCCGGCUAACUCCGUGCCAGCAGCCGCGGUAAU
RNAcentral lists this ribosomal RNA (169 nucleotides) under uncultured bacterium. RNAcentral describes it as "partial 16S ribosomal RNA". It matches the Rfam family "Bacterial small subunit ribosomal RNA", at positions 338 to 524 of the family's 1533-position model. The record is from RNAcentral.